GACGAACGCUGGCGGCGUGCUUAACACAUGCAGGUCGAACGGAAAGGCCCUGCUUUUGUAGGGUGCUCGAGUGGCGAACGGGUGAGUAACACGUGAGUAACCUGCCCUUGACUUUGGGAUAACUUCAGGAAACUGGGGCUAAUACCGGAUAGGAGCUCCUGCUGCAUGGUGGGGGUUGGAAAGUUUCGGCGGUUGGGGAUGGACUCGCGGCUUAUCAGCUUGUUGGUGGGGUAGUGGCUUACCAAGGCUUUGACGGGUAGCCGGCCUGAGAGGGUGACCGGCCACAUUGGGACUGAGAUACGGCCCAGACUCCUACGGGAGGCAGCAGUGGGGAAUAUUGCACAAUGGGCGGAAGCCUGAUGCAGCAACGCCGCGUGCGGGAUGACGGCCUUCGGGUUGUAAACCGCUUUCGCCUGUGACGAAGCGUGAGUGACGGUAAUGGGUAAAGAAGCACCGGCUAACUACGUG
This 468-nucleotide ribosomal RNA is filed under the name uncultured bacterium. RNAcentral describes it as "partial 16S ribosomal RNA". It matches the Rfam family "Bacterial small subunit ribosomal RNA", at positions 28 to 507 of the family's 1533-position model. The record is from RNAcentral.